CUGCCUUCCAGGCUCACGCCAUUCUCCUGCCUCAGCCUCCAGCAUAGCUGGGACUACAGGCGCCCGCCACCAUGCCCGCCUAAUUUUUUGUAUUUUUAGUAGAGACGAGGUUUUACCGUGUUAGCCAGGAGGUCUCCAUCUCCUGACCUGGUGAUCCGCCUGCCUCGGCCUCCCAAAGUGCUGGGAUUACAGGAGUGAGCCACCACGCCUGGCCUUAAUUAUAUUUUUAUGUAACUUUUUGAUACUACUCAAGUAUUUUUUCCUCUACGGUACUCACUAUGCUGAAAGAUUUUUCUUUCACAUGUUUUCUAAACUAUGUAAUAUAAGUGUCAUUGGCUAUUUUUGUCCACCUGAUGGAGGUAAGAAAUGAUCAAAGUACAGUUUAACAGCAGUAUUAGCAAGAGUUGAGCCUUGCUGAAUAUGUAAGUUUCAACGGAUUUGCUUUGCAACUACAUGCAGUAGAUGUUUUAAGAGGGUAGGUAGGAUAUUUAAAUUUAACCUUUUUGUGCCACUGUGUGAGAGUGGGCUUCUGAAAAUGGAGGGGGGAAGCAUCUCUCCUUGGUUAGUAGGCAUUCAAGUGGAAGAUAUGUUAUAAAAACCUAGUUGUAUCUUAUAGGAUGCUAAAAGCAAGGUGACUGAACUUCUAACAGGGCAUUCUACAUUGAGUAUGUGCUUUUCUCUAUAAUUAGGCUAAAAAAAGGUUGGUAAGUAAUAUGAACUUAAAAUCAAGAUUAACCCCCAAUUUACAAACCCAUGAUAAAAAGUGUUGUUGAUUACUUGGAUCCUAUCUUUUCUGCAGUUUAUGUUUCUAGUGACUUACUCAAUAGUUUUUUCUUACUCUUUCCCUGGACAGAAUAUGUAAUAUAAGAAACAUAAGUCCUUUGAGUUGAGGGAGAUCAGAUAGAUUUAAUAAAAGUCAUUUAGACUUUAUUGCAUAUUCUGGAAGUCCAAAGAAGAAUGACUCUGGUUGCAUAGCACUUCUAAUAAAGCCACAAAAUCAUUACCUGACUCAGUGCCUGUUCUUGUUAUCAUAUUUUUACUUUAUGUUUUGGUAUUUCAUUUAUUUAUUACGUUUCAGCUGUGAGAGUACCUUCUACAAAACAUUUUAAACUUUUUUCUAUUUUCAUUAAGUUGCAGUCCCACUCCACCCAGUCCAGCCUCCUAAUUCUAGCCUUUAUACAGCUAAGAUUGAGGCAAUCAGUUAUAAGGACGCCUGCUCAUAAUUACCUUCUCAGAAGGUAAUUAUAUUAAUACUGAAUUUAUUUAGUGGUAUGCUGUCAUCAAAAAAAUUCAUUAAAAAUAAAAUCAAUGAAGGCUGGUCUCAAGCUCCCAACCUCGAGUGAUCCACCUACCACGCCUCCCAAGUUGCUAGGAUUACAGGCAUGAGCCACCAUGCCCGGCCUAAGUGCAUAUAUAUUUUUGGGCACAUUUUUACAACUUUUAAAAAAAGCUUUUUUUUUUUUUUGAGACGGAGUCUUGCUCUGUCGCCCAGGCUGGAGUGCAGUGGCGUGAUCUCGGCUCACUGCAAGCUCUGCCUCCCGGGUUCACGCCAUUCUCCUGCGUCAGCCUCCCAAGUAGCUGGGACUACAGGUGCCCGCCACACGCCCAGCUAAUUUUUUGUAUUUUUAGUAGAGAUGGGGUUUCACCAUGUUAGCCAGGAUGGUCUCAAUCUCCUGACCUCGUGAUCCGCCCGCCUGGGCCUCCCAAAGUGCUGGGAUUACAGGCAUGAGCCACCACACCCGGCCCCUAAAAAAAGCUUUUUUGACUUAGUAGUGCCCAGGAGACAGUUCUAAGCAAAUUGUAAGCAUUUUCUUCUGACUCCUUUGUCUUCAGAUAAUCUCACCUCUUGUUUGAUAACUUAUUGAGCAACUUUGUUUCUGUUUUUUUGCAGGGACAUCAGUUUUUUUCUUGGUAGCAAGCUGUAGAUUUUGUUUCAAGGAAAGCAUCUUCAUCUUCUCUAGUUUCAUCAUGUAUAGAUGGAGAUUCCGAUGCAGGUAUCUGUAUCAAUUUCAAUACAGUCACAUUUGUGUUUAUUUGAACUCUAGAACUAGAAAAGGAAUUACUUUUUUCUUUGAUUUUCUUUUUCUUCCUUCUCUUGAGGAUCAUGAAAGUAUAAAAGAAUACUUUCUAAAUGAGGGU
RNAcentral lists this long non-coding RNA (2139 nucleotides) under Homo sapiens (human). Its description in RNAcentral is "HSALNT0072487". Lineage: Eukaryota; Metazoa; Chordata; Mammalia; Primates; Hominidae. The record is from RNAcentral.